GUUGCUUUGGCAGAUAAGUGCAAUAGAUUUAGAAUCUUUUCAUGUAGAUUUAAUUCUUCAGGUAACA
This 67-nucleotide transfer RNA is filed under the name Ameletus sp. 1 MT-2014. RNAcentral describes it as "tRNA-Leu". It matches the Rfam family "tRNA". From Rfam's summary of the family: Transfer RNA (tRNA) molecules are approximately 80 nucleotides in length. The record is from RNAcentral. Lineage: Eukaryota; Metazoa; Arthropoda; Insecta; Ephemeroptera; Ameletidae.